UACGGGGGGGGCAAGCGUUGUUCGGAAUUACUGGGCGUAAAGGGCUCGUAGGUGGCCAACUAAGUCACACGUGAAAUCCCUCGGCUUAACCGGGGAACUGCGUGUGAUACUGGAUGGCUUGAGUUUGGGAGAGGGAUGCGGAAUUCCAGGUGUAGCGGUGAAAUGCGUAGAUAUCGUAAGGAAGACCAGUGGCGAAGGCGGGUCUCUGGACAGUUCCUGACGCUGAGGCACGAAGGUCAGGGGAGCAAACGGG
This 253-nucleotide ribosomal RNA is filed under the name uncultured bacterium. RNAcentral's name for it is "partial 16S ribosomal RNA". It matches the Rfam family "Bacterial small subunit ribosomal RNA", at positions 524 to 776 of the family's 1533-position model. The record is from RNAcentral.